GCCUGCAGCCACACCACCUGCAGCUCAGACCAGGUAAUCUACCUGAAACUAAGCAGGUUUGGGCCUGGCAAGUAUUUGGAUGGGAGACCAACUAGGAAAUCUGGGUUCCUGCUAGAA
This 117-nucleotide ribosomal RNA is filed under the name Paramormyrops kingsleyae. Lineage: Eukaryota; Metazoa; Chordata; Actinopteri; Osteoglossiformes; Mormyridae. The record is from RNAcentral.